Molecule: ribosomal RNA, 117 nt
Filed under: candidate division CPR3 bacterium
Lineage: Bacteria; candidate division CPR3
Source: RNAcentral
CCUGGUGGUUUUAACGCGGUGGAACUACCUGAUCCCAUCCCGAACUCAGUCGUAAAACGCCGUCGUGCCGAAAAUACUAGCACUGCAAAGUGCUGGGAAGAUAGGUAACUGCCAGGG